Molecule: long non-coding RNA, 226 nt
Organism: Oreochromis niloticus (Nile tilapia)
Lineage: Eukaryota; Metazoa; Chordata; Actinopteri; Cichliformes; Cichlidae
Exons: 3
Source: RefSeq, a predicted model, not a curated record
CUUGGAAAGACUUCCAGCUUCAUCACGGAGUUUCUCUCGGUUUGUGGGCUCAUCUAAAGCUGAGUAACAGGAGGAGAAGAGUCUGGUGGUGUAGCAGAGGAACAAUUUCAGCUAUUUGGACUCAGCUCAGCCACUACAGAGGAAACAAUGACUUCAACACAAAAGGACCAACAUGGAGCGAGAAGUCAGCGCUCUCAGGAGGCCGACAAACCUCACAGAAGAAAGC